RNAcentral lists this small nucleolar RNA (80 nucleotides) under Helianthus annuus (common sunflower). RNAcentral describes it as "Small nucleolar RNA SNORD34". It matches the Rfam family "Small nucleolar RNA SNORD34". Rfam says of the family: snoRNA U34 is found in intron 5 of the ribosomal protein L13a gene in humans. Lineage: Eukaryota; Viridiplantae; Streptophyta; Magnoliopsida; Asterales; Asteraceae. The record is from Rfam by way of RNAcentral.
UGGCCUAUGAUGAUUAAUAGUUUUGCCUACAUUGUCUGAUUGUUUACAAUGAAGAGAAACCUACAGAUUUCUGAGGCCAA